This 205-nucleotide long non-coding RNA is filed under the name Elaeis guineensis (African oil palm). Its description in RNAcentral is "long non-coding RNA (EGUI_LNC012668)". The record is from RNAcentral. Lineage: Eukaryota; Viridiplantae; Streptophyta; Magnoliopsida; Arecales; Arecaceae.
GGACCUCAUUUCAGUUCCUUUGAUGGAUGGAAAUCAGGAGCAUACGAUCCAGAUCAGGUCGAGUCUGGAUCAGGUGAUAUAAGACUAGCUAACCUCCUUUUUAUAGAAAAAUACCGACAUCUUUGCCUGGAUGCCAACAAACAUGUGGGGGAUUGAUCCCUCAGUGAUCUUACAUCGGUUGAACAUGAGCCCAAACCACCACCCC